UAAAGUCCAAGUCCAACCGAUAACCACCAGUU
RNAcentral lists this non-coding RNA (32 nucleotides) under Mus musculus (house mouse). Lineage: Eukaryota; Metazoa; Chordata; Mammalia; Rodentia; Muridae. The record is from RNAcentral.